GGAUGCGAUCAUACCAGCACUAAAGCACCGGAUCCCAUCAAAACUCCGAAGUUAAGCGUGCUUGGGGGAGAGUAGUACUAGGAUGGGUGACCUCUUGGGAAGUCCUCGUGUUGCAUUCC
This 119-nucleotide ribosomal RNA is filed under the name Triticum aestivum (bread wheat). RNAcentral also lists the same sequence under 1 other name. Lineage: Eukaryota; Viridiplantae; Streptophyta; Magnoliopsida; Poales; Poaceae. The record is from RNAcentral.